CCCACAGCCAGUUCUUUGACCUUAUGUUGUAUUCUCAUGGUCAAAUAGAAAUUGACGAUCAGGUGGAAGGACUCCAAUAUCUAGCUUCUCGAUAUGAUUUCAUUGACUUAGAUCGUGUGGGCAUCCACGGCUGGUCCUAUGGAGGAUACCUCUCCCUGAUGGCAUUAAUGCAGAGGUCAGAUAUCUUCAGGGUUGCUAUUGCUGGGGCCCCAGUCACUCUGUGGAUCUUCUAUGAUACAGGAUACACGGAACGUUAUAUGGGUCACCCUGACCAGAAUGAACAGGGCUAUUACUUAGGAUCUGUGGCCAUGCAAGCAGAAAAGUUCCCCUCUGAACCAAAUCGUUUACUGCUCUUACAUGGUUUCCUGGAUGAGAAUGUCCAUUUUGCACAUACCAGUAUAUUACUGAGUUUUUUAGUGAGGGCUGGAAAGCCAUAUGAUUUACAGGUGAGUUACUCUACAUUUUCUAGUUAAAUGCAGUCAUGAUUAGUGAUUGAUUACUUUGAAAUCUAUUAACUGUGGGGUAAGGCCAGAUUUUUAGAGUGUCCAUCCUCUGCUUAAGAGAACUAAAGUAAGAGGUGUAUUUAGUAGUGCCUGUGGUUGGAUAAAAAUUAAGAUUCUGUCGCAGUCAGGCUGACAUACCUGCCUGUCAGAUUACAUGACUGUGUGUCUGUAUCUGCUUGCAGUUUGGAAGCAUGGAAAAGAUG
RNAcentral lists this small RNA (706 nucleotides) under Pongo abelii (Sumatran orangutan). Its description in RNAcentral is "processed transcript". The record is from RNAcentral. Lineage: Eukaryota; Metazoa; Chordata; Mammalia; Primates; Hominidae.